Molecule: unclassified non-coding RNA, 338 nt
Filed under: Arcuospathidium cultriforme
Lineage: Eukaryota; Ciliophora; Litostomatea; Haptorida; Spathidiidae
Description: partial contains ITS1, 5.8S rRNA and ITS2
Rfam family: 5.8S ribosomal RNA (bases 66-211)
Source: RNAcentral
UGAAAGCACUAUUACUUAAACUUUAAAAAUAAAAACCAUAAACAACUUUGGUUGAUAAAAAAUUAAAUUUUCAACGAUGGAUGUCUUGGCUCCCAUAUCGAUGAAGAACGCAGCUAGAAUGCGAUAUGCAAUGUGAAUUGCAGAACCACGAAUCAUCGGAUCUUUGAACGCAACUGGCGCUGGAAAAACCAGCAUACUUGUUUCAGUGUGCGCAAACAAAUAAACCAUAUAAAUGUGAGAGAAGUUCUCUCAUGAAAUAUAUGCUCCCUGCAGCAGUCACAUUUAUUUGUGAGCUGAAGGGCUGACUUCUGCCUUAUUUGCACCUGAAAUCAAGUAAG